GGCUUAACACAUGCAAGUCGAGGGGCAGCAUGGUCUUAGCUUGCUAAGGCCGAUGGCGACCGGCGCACGGGUGAGUAACACGUAUCCAACCUGCCGUCUACUCUUGGACAGCCUUCUGAAAGGAAGAUUAAUACAAGAUGGCAUCAUGAGUCCGCAUGUUCACAUGAUUAAAGGUAUUCCGGUAGACGAUGGGGAUGCGUUCCAUUAGAUAGUAGGCGGGGUAACGGCCCACCUAGUCUUCGAUGGAUAGGGGUUCUGAGAGGAAGGUCCCCCACAUUGGAACUGAGACACGGUCCAAACUCCUACGGGAGGCAGCAGUGAGGAAUAUUGGUCAAUGGGCGAGAGCCUGAACCAGCCAAGUAGCGUGAAGGAUGACUGCCCUAUGGGUUGUAAACUUCUUUUAUAAAGGAAUAAAGUCGGGUAUGGAUACCCGUUUGCAUGUACUUUAUGAAUAAGGAUCGGCUAACUCCGUGCCAGCAGCCGCGGUAAUACGGAGGAUCCGAGCGUUAUCCGGAUUUAUUGGGUUUAAAGGGAGCGUAGAUGGAUGUUUAAGUCAGUUGUGAAAGUUUGCGGCUCAACCGUAAAAUUGCAGUUGAUACUGGAUAUCUUGAGUGCAGUUGAGGCAGGCGGAAUUCGUGGUGUAGCGGUGAAAUGCUUAGAUAUCACGAAGAACUCCGAUUGCGAAGGCAGCCUGCUAAGCUGCAACUGACAUUGAGGCUCGAAAGUGUGGGUAUCAAACAGGAUUAGAUACCCUGGUAGUCCACACGGUAAACGAUGAAUACUCGCUGUUUGCGAUAUACUGCAAGCGGCCAAGCGAAAGCGUUAAGUAUUCCACCUGGGGAGUACGCCGGCAACGGUGAAACUCAAAGGAAUUGACGGGGGCCCGCACAAGCGGAGGAACAUGUGGUUUAAUUCGAUGAUACGCGAGGAACCUUACCCGGGCUUAAAUUGCAGAUGAAUUACGGUGAAAGCCGUAAGCCGCAAGGCAUCUGUGAAGGUGCUGCAUGGUUGUCGUCAGCUCGUGCCGUGAGGUGUCGGCUUAAGUGCCAUAACGAGCGCAACCCUUGUUGUCAGUUACUAACAGGUUCCGCUGAGGACUCUGACAAGACUGCCAUCGUAAGAUGUGAGGAAGGUGGGGAUGACGUCAAAUCAGCACGGCCCUUACGUCCGGGGCUACACACGUGUUACAAUGGGGGGUACAGAGGGCCGCUACCACGCGAGUGGAUGCCAAUCCCCAAAACCUCUCUCAGUUCGGACUGGAGUCUGCAACCCGACUCCACGAAGCUGGAUUCGCUAGUAAUCGCGCAUCAGCCACGGCGCGGUGAAUACGUUCCCGGGCCUUGUACACACCGCCCGUCAAGCCAUGGGAGCCGGGGGUACCUGAAGUGCGUAACCGCGAGGAGCGCCCUAGGGUAAAACUGGUGACUGGGGCUAAGUCGU
RNAcentral lists this ribosomal RNA (1440 nucleotides) under uncultured bacterium. RNAcentral describes it as "bacterial SSU rRNA". It matches the Rfam family "Bacterial small subunit ribosomal RNA". The record is from RNAcentral.